AAGUAGAAGUGCCUGUUAUGCUGCCUGUAGAAGAAUAAAUCUUGGAGUCUUGCCAGCAUUAUGCAUUGGAGUGUGCACACAUGUAAGUAUAGAGAGAGGGCUUAAUAAUAUAUAGUCCACUCGAGAAAUGAAUAUCAUAUUUUCAGGCAUGCAUGUUUUAUGUACUGUAAAUUCACGAUUAUUCAAAACAUGCCUUUCCUCAUAGCACAGUGGGGGUAAGACAAUAAAGGAGUUAUAAAACCGCUGUCAGUGGCCGUGUCAGUUACCAGGAAUUGUCUAUACAACCAUCCUCUAAACAGCUGAGGUCAUACCAUAUGGUAAUCAGGUUACCAUGAAUCUAAGCCCGCAAAUAUCUGAAUUUUAUUAUAUAGAAAAUCAAAGUCAGAUGGUUUACUCUGGAGUAAGUAUAUACCCUGCAGGCCGGCAUUUUUCUCAUACGGGAGAGAUCGAGAAGUAGAACGUUGAAGAUUACAACAAACCGACAGAAACACAAUUUUAAACCAGUCCAUCCUUCUCGCGAAUCAGACGUCCAUGAUGUCAAAAACGCCGCUUGCUUAAGCUCCAUAAUCUUCUAAACUUUGCCGUCAAGUGCAUUAAAAACAUCAUGUCCUCAUCUAACAAAGUUAGAGGAAAUUGUUUGCGAAAUUGUACCAUUUUUUUGGGGGCUUUCCUGCUUGAACAGGUGCUUCAAAUAAAAAGAUUGGUAGGAAGUGUAAGAACUUUACCAGCCUGAUGAUGAAGCGUAAGACAUUUACUACAAAUUAGAAGAAAAUAUUGGCUGGAAGUGAGACAUUCACUAUUGAUUAGGCUUAAGCCUUAAUUCACUAUUGAUUAGAAUUAAGCCGAAACAAUUUUCCGCGUUGAUGUGUCAGAAAUAUUAUGAAUGCUGAUGCGAUCUAUACUUGUCUAAAAUUUCCUUUUUUCUUUAUAGUGCUUCCCUAUUUGAAUGUUAAUGGAGGAUGGAAUUUCAUUUCAUUGAUUUGAUUUCGGCUAUUUUGUUACCUCGAUCUCUUUCUAUGGUGAAUAUUGUUGCAUUUAAACAGUAAUAGAUACAGUAUAUACACUCAUUCAAUAAUGUGAUUCAUUGUACUUUGUUAGAUUUAAAUUAAUAAUGAAUAAAACAUUUUCAUAUAUAGUUUUAAAAUAUAAAUAUUCAACAUAUAUCGGCCAUUCAGAGAUUGGGCCCAAUUUGGAAACUGUCGGUGUAAUGCCGUUAUGUUUAAUUU
Paramuricea clavata is the source of this 1226-nucleotide non-coding RNA. The record is from the annotation of a GenBank genome assembly. Lineage: Eukaryota; Metazoa; Cnidaria; Anthozoa; Malacalcyonacea; Plexauridae.